This is a long non-coding RNA of Triticum dicoccoides, 584 nucleotides long. RefSeq lists it as uncharacterized. NCBI's taxonomy places the organism in Eukaryota, Viridiplantae, Streptophyta, Magnoliopsida, Poales, Poaceae. The transcript has 2 exons. The record is from RefSeq and is a predicted model, not a curated record.
UAUGCAGAGUAAAAAGGACCCGAGGGAGUACAUGGAAGGAGGGAGUAUGAUUUAGAUGUGACUUAGUUAAUUCUCAUCUAGAUGACAGCUAGCCACGUUGUCAAAUCUGUAUCAUUUCGAUUUAAAAAAAACCGUAUCAUCUCGGCUUGGGUUUCUUUGAGUUCCUUCUCUUUUGUUUCUGUGCGCACGCUACAACUUCGAUUUUCCAAAUAUUGAUCCUGUAGGUAGUUCUGGUUGCCAAUUCAGUGCCAACUUUGAAGUUGCAACUUAAGCUCCAAAGGGCGGCUUUAUAGUCGAUCUAUAUGGCAUUAUUGCUAGAUCCAGUGUCAGACACCUACCUCAAUUUUAAGUGAAAGGUACUUCGCUUCUAUAAAUUGCUGAUCCAAGUUGUUGGUACCUACUCAACAUCAUCUUGUUAUACUCUUUCCGUCCCAAUUUACGUCUCCCAUAUUUGUGUAGAUAUGGUUGUAUCUAAUAACAAUAAAAUCUACUUCGACCGUCCCAUAAUGUAAGACCCUUUUUGACACUGGUGUAGUGUCAAAGAGUAGUAAUUUGGGACGGAGGUAAUACAUGACUUGAGACAC